RNAcentral lists this ribosomal RNA (279 nucleotides) under uncultured prokaryote. Its description in RNAcentral is "partial 16S ribosomal RNA". It matches the Rfam family "Bacterial small subunit ribosomal RNA", at positions 524 to 800 of the family's 1533-position model. The record is from RNAcentral.
UACGUAGGGGCUAGCGUUAUCCGGAAUUACUGGGCGUAAAGGGUGCGUAGGUGGUUUCUUAAGUCAGAGGUGAAAGGCUACGGCUCAACCGUAGUAAGCCUUUGAAACUGGGAAACUUAGAGUGCAGGAGAGGAGAGUGGAAUUCCUAGUGUAGCGGUGGAAAUAGCGUAGAGAUUAGGAAGGAACACCAGUGGCGAAGGCGAUUCUCUGGACUGUAACUGAUGCUGAGGCUCGAAAGCGUGGGGAGCAAACAGGAUUAGAUACCCUGGUAGUCCCUGA